This 252-nucleotide ribosomal RNA is filed under the name uncultured bacterium. RNAcentral's name for it is "partial 16S ribosomal RNA". It matches the Rfam family "Bacterial small subunit ribosomal RNA", at positions 524 to 776 of the family's 1533-position model. The record is from RNAcentral.
UACGUAGGUGGCAAGCGUUGUCCGGAUUUAUUGGGUUUAAAGGGUGCGUAGGCGGCCGCUUAAGUCAGUUGUGAAAUAUCCCGGCUCAACCGGGAGGGUGCGAUUGAUACUGGGCGCUCGAGUAACAGCGAGGUUGGCGGAAUUGACGGUGUAGCGGUGAAAUGCAUAGAUAUCGUCAAGAACACCGAUAGCGAAGGCAGCCAACUAGGGGUUAACUGACGCUGAGGCACGAAAGUGCGGGGAUCAAACAGG